UGAUAUUUAAAUAUUUGUCUUGUAAAGCAGUGCUUCGUGUGAUAACAAACAUCGCUCCGGAAGGUCUCGUUAUUGGUUCCUAACGUUUUUGCACUUGCAAAGCUUAUGAAUGUCAGUGAAGAUGAGAGUCAACUUUCUGCUAUAGCUAGGCAAGGUUCAGGUAGUGCUUGUCGGAGUUUGUUUGGUGGUUUCGUUAAGUGGAUUAUGGGAAAAGAGGAUGAUGGAAGUGAUAGUCUUGCAGUUCAACUAGUAGAUGAAAAACACUGGAAGAUCUCUUCAUCAUUAUUGUUGUGAGCAAGGAGUGUUUAGAGAAAGUUACUCAAACAAUAUCUUUUCUUGGUCAACCACGAGAAUCUCA
Gossypium raimondii (Peruvian cotton) is the source of this 358-nucleotide long non-coding RNA. RefSeq lists it as uncharacterized. Lineage: Eukaryota; Viridiplantae; Streptophyta; Magnoliopsida; Malvales; Malvaceae. The record is from RefSeq and is a predicted model, not a curated record. The transcript is spliced from 5 exons.